This 23-nucleotide non-coding RNA is filed under the name Rattus norvegicus (Norway rat). The record is from RNAcentral. Lineage: Eukaryota; Metazoa; Chordata; Mammalia; Rodentia; Muridae.
UGCAGAGCAUUAAAUGUGACUGG